CCUACGGGUGGCAGCAGUGGGGAAUAUUGCACAAUGGGGGAAACCCUGAUGCAGCGACGCCGCGUGAGUGAGGAAGUAUUUCGGUAUGUAAAGCUCUAUCAGCAGGGAAGAAAAUGACGGUACCCGACUCAGAAGCCCCGGGUAACUACGUGCCAGCAGCCGCGGUAAUACGUAGGGGGCAAGCGGUAUCAGGAUUUACUGGGGGUAAAGGGAGCGUUGGCGGGUAAGAAAGUCAGAAGGGAAAACCCUGGGCUCAACCUUGGGACUGCGUUUGAAACUGGGUAGCUAGAGUGCAGGAGAGGUAAGCGGAAUGCGUGGUGUAGCGGUGAAAUGCGUAGAUAUUACGAGGAACACCGGUGGCGAAGGCGGCAUACUGGACUGUAACUGACGUUGAGGCUCGAAAGCGUGGGGAGCAAACAGGAUUAGAUACCCGUGUAGUC
Molecule: ribosomal RNA, 440 nt
Filed under: uncultured bacterium
Lineage: Bacteria
Description: partial 16S ribosomal RNA
Rfam family: Bacterial small subunit ribosomal RNA
Source: RNAcentral